This 418-nucleotide ribosomal RNA is filed under the name bacterium BCM23. Its description in RNAcentral is "bacterial SSU rRNA". It matches the Rfam family "Bacterial small subunit ribosomal RNA", at positions 95 to 509 of the family's 1533-position model. The record is from RNAcentral.
GCGGCGGACGGGUGAGUAAUGCCUAGGAAAUUGCCCUGAUGUGGGGGAUAACCAUUGGAAACGAUGGCUAAUACCGCAUGAUGCCUACGGGCCAAAGAGGGGGACCUUCGGGCCUCUCGCGUCAGGAUAUGCCUAGGUGGGAUUAGCUAGUUGGUGAGGUAAGGGCUCACCAAGGCGACGAUCCCUAGCUGGUCUGAGAGGAUGAUCAGCCACACUGGAACUGAGACACGGUCCAGACUCCUACGGGAGGCAGCAGUGGGGAAUAUUGCACAAUGGGCGCAAGCCUGAUGCAGCCAUGCCGCGUGUGUGAAGAAGGCCUUCGGGUUGUAAAGCACUUUCAGUCGUGAGGAAGGUAGUGUAGUUAAUAGCUGCAUUAUUUGACGUUAGCGACAGAAGAAGCACCGGCUAACUCCGUGCC